AGAGAGAAGUGGCUGAUACAGGAAAAACCGUACCAAUGACACGUUUACAGAUGAGUUGGAGAGCAACUUACUCAGAGGAACACUCAGGUAGAUGAUGCUGAGCUUCCAUGAACGUGUUUCUUCCAUGAAGAUAUGACAUUGAUCCACCCGGUUCUUAAAAGAUGGAUGCUGGGUAUCUAGAAGAGCCUGCCCAUCCCGGACAACAAGGAGAUAUUCUGGCUCCAGAGGACCUCUGAACUUUGCCAAGCUGCUGCUGUAAUUUGUUUGGAUUUAAGCGCUGGUCUGCUCACAGUUUCUCCGUGCCCACCUGCCUGCCUCCCUGCCCAGCGCUCAGGAUUACCAUCUCCCCUCACCCGGACCACCUCCCCUCUAAGCUUCGCCUCCGCCUGCACAUGAGUAAGACUGUUUACUGUCACUACGAGUGCUUUUGAACUAGCUUGCCGCGUCCUGCAUCUAACACCUGUUCUCCCCACUUUUAGUGACUACACCCUUACCUCUGCUUCCGUCCCCAGGAGUUCCUGCACUGGCAGAUUACCCAGUGUCGGGUUCUCCAUCCCAUCCACGACAGCCCCACGGCUUCCCCACGGACACUUCUAGUGCUCUUUACAGCUUUGUUUCAUAGAAAUGCCAAGUCGGCCAUGUGUGUUUAACAGUAAAAAGGUUAUGAAUCUUUGAGUUAAACCCGUGUGUCUCUAAGCGAAGUAUUAUGAAACAUAGUGUGCCUCAAAGCUAAUGUUAUGGGUGCAGUUUCCCCCUCCAGGGGCAAGGGUACCUAGACCUGGGGUUUACAGUAUGCUUGGGGAGUGUGAUUGUAUA
This is a long non-coding RNA of Oreochromis niloticus (Nile tilapia), 816 nucleotides long. RefSeq lists it as uncharacterized. The record is from RefSeq and is a predicted model, not a curated record. Lineage: Eukaryota; Metazoa; Chordata; Actinopteri; Cichliformes; Cichlidae. The transcript has 3 exons.